AUUGAACGCUGGCGGCAUGCUUUACACAUGCAAGUCGAACGGUAACAGGCCUUCGGGUGCUGACGAGUGGCGAACGGGUGAGUAAUGCAUCGGAACGUGCCCAAUCGUGGGGGAUAACGUAGCGAAAGUUACGCUAAUACCGCAUAAGCCCUGAGGGGGAAAGCAGGGGAUCGCAAGACCUUGCGCGAAUGGAGCGGCCGAUGUCAGAUUAGCUAGUUGGUGGGGUAAAGGCCUACCAAGGCGACGAUCUGUAGCGGGUCUGAGAGGAUGAUCCGCCACACUGGGACUGAGACACGGCCCAGACUCCUACGGGAGGCAGCAGUGGGGAAUUUUGGACAAUGGGCGCAAGCCUGAUCCAGCCAUGCCGCGUGCGGGACGAAGGCCUCGGUUGU
This 392-nucleotide ribosomal RNA is filed under the name uncultured bacterium. RNAcentral's name for it is "bacterial SSU rRNA". It matches the Rfam family "Bacterial small subunit ribosomal RNA", at positions 29 to 426 of the family's 1533-position model. The record is from RNAcentral.